GUUGCUUCAUGUGGUUGAAAAUAUUGAGCUUGACACCCUAAAAUGUGUGUUUGGCAAUAGUAAUUGAAGCUAUAUAGACUUGUUCCUCUCGCUAUCCAGUGUUGUAAUUUACAUAGAGCAUUUGGACGUUGGGUGACUACAUUU
Small nucleolar RNA from Impatiens glandulifera, 144 nucleotides. RefSeq annotates it as small nucleolar RNA snoR136. The transcript has a single exon. The record is from RefSeq and is a predicted model, not a curated record. NCBI's taxonomy places the organism in Eukaryota, Viridiplantae, Streptophyta, Magnoliopsida, Ericales, Balsaminaceae.